RNAcentral lists this ribosomal RNA (253 nucleotides) under uncultured bacterium. RNAcentral's name for it is "partial 16S ribosomal RNA". It matches the Rfam family "Bacterial small subunit ribosomal RNA", at positions 524 to 776 of the family's 1533-position model. The record is from RNAcentral.
UACGUAGGGUCCGAGCGUUGUCCGGAAUUAUUGGGCGUAAAGGGCUCGUAGGCGGUUUGUCGCGUCGGGAGUGAAAACACGGGGCUUAACCCCGUGCCUGCUUCCGAUACGGGCAGACUAGAGGUAUGCAGGGGAGAACGGAAUUCCUGGUGUAGCGGUGAAAUGCGCAGAUAUCAGGAGGAACACCGGUGGCGAAGGCGGUUCUCUGGGCCUUACCUGACGCUGAGGCGCGAAAGCUAGGGGAGCGAACAGG